Non-coding RNA from Plectropomus leopardus (leopard coralgrouper), 226 nucleotides. NCBI's taxonomy places the organism in Eukaryota, Metazoa, Chordata, Actinopteri, Perciformes, Serranidae. The record is from RefSeq and is a predicted model, not a curated record.
UCUCUUCAGGGCAAGAAGGGCCGUCCUGGAGAUGAUGGAAGCCCUGGCCUAAAAGGACAGAAGGGUGAGAGUGGGCUCAGUGGUCUUCCGGGUCGGGAAGGAGCAGAGGGGAAAGCGGGAUACAAAGGAGAGAAGGGAGAGAGAGGGGAGUGCGGCACACCUGGAGUAAAGGGAGACAGAGGUCCUGAAGGUACUGUUGGCCCAAGAGGAAAUCGUGGACUUCAGG